RNAcentral lists this ribosomal RNA (395 nucleotides) under uncultured bacterium. Its description in RNAcentral is "bacterial SSU rRNA". It matches the Rfam family "Bacterial small subunit ribosomal RNA", at positions 505 to 898 of the family's 1533-position model. The record is from RNAcentral.
GUGCCAGCAGCCGCGGUAAUACGUAGGUGGCAAGCGUUGUCCGGAUUUACUGGGCGUAAAGAGCGCGCAGGCGGUCAUUCAAGUCGAGUGUGAAAGCCCCCGGCUCAACUGGGGAGGGUCACUCGAUACUGUUUGACUCGAAGGCGGGAGAGGGAAGUGGAAUUCCCGGUGUAGUGGUGAAAUGCGUAGAUAUCGGGAGGAACACCAGUGGCGAAGGCGACUUCCUGGCCCGUUCUUGACGCUGAGGCGCGAAAGCUAGGGGAGCAAACGGGAUUAGAUACCCCGGUAGUCCUAGCCGUAAACGAUGGACACUAGGUGUUGGUGGUAUCAACCCCGCCAGUGCCGUAGCUAACGCAUUAAGUGUCCCGCCUGGGGAGUACGGCCGCAAGGCUAAA